GACGAACGCUGGCGGCGUGCUUAACACAUGCAAGUCGAACGGAAAGGCCCUGCUUUUGUGGGGUGCUCGAGUGGCGAACGGGUGAGUAACACGUGAGUAACCUGCCCUUGACUUUGGGAUAACUUCAGGAAACUGGGGCUAAUACCGGAUAGGAGCUCCUGCUGCAUGGUGGGGGUUGGAAAGUUUCGACGGUUGGGGAUGGACUCGCGGCUUAUCAGCUUGUUGGUGGGGUAGUGGCUUACCAAGGCUUUGACGGGUAGCCGGCCUGAGAGGGUGACCGGCCACAUUGGGACUGAGGUACGGCCCAGACUCCUACGGGAGGCAGCAGUGGGGAAUAUUGCACAAUGGGCGGAAGCCUGAUGCAGCAACGCCGCGUGCGGGAUGACGGCCUUCGGGUUGUAAACCGCUUUCGCCUGUGACGAAGCGUGAGUGACGGUAAUGGGUAAAGAAGCACCGGCUAACUACGUG
RNAcentral lists this ribosomal RNA (468 nucleotides) under uncultured bacterium. Its description in RNAcentral is "partial 16S ribosomal RNA". It matches the Rfam family "Bacterial small subunit ribosomal RNA", at positions 28 to 507 of the family's 1533-position model. The record is from RNAcentral.